AUUGAACGCUGGCGGCAUGCUUUACACAUGCAAGUCGGACGGCAGCGGGGGUGCUUGCACCUGCCGGCGAGUGGCGAACGGGUGAGUAACAUAUUGGAAUGUACCGAGUAGUGGGGGAUAACCAAUCGAAAGAUUGGCUAAUACCGCAUACGUCCUGAGGGGGAAAGCAGGGGAUCUUCGGACCUUGCGCUAUUUGAGCAGCCAAUAUCUGAUUAGCUAGUUGGUGGGGUAAGGGCCCACCAAGGCGACGAUCAGUAGCGGGUCUGAGAGGAUGAUCCGCCACACUGGGACUGAGACACGGCCCAGACUCCUACGGGAGGCAGCAGUGGGGAAUUUUGGACAAUGGGGGCAACCCUGAUCCAGCCAUGCCGCGUGUCUGAAGAAGGCCUUCGGGUUGUAAAGGACUUUUGUUAGGGAAGAAAAGGGAAGUGUUAAUACCACUUUUUGCUGACGGUAC
Molecule: ribosomal RNA, 457 nt
Filed under: Kingella denitrificans
Lineage: Bacteria; Pseudomonadati; Pseudomonadota; Betaproteobacteria; Neisseriales; Neisseriaceae
Description: bacterial SSU rRNA
Rfam family: Bacterial small subunit ribosomal RNA
Source: RNAcentral